GAUGAACGCUGGCGGCGUGCUUAACACAUGCAAGUCGAACGGAAAGGCCGAAGCUUGCUUCGGUACUCGAGUGGCGAACGGGUGAGUAACACGUGGGUGAUCUGCCCUGUACUUCGGGAUAAGCUUGGGAAACUGGGUCUAAUACCGGAUAUGACGAUCUCUUGGAUGGGGUUGUGGAAAGCUUUUGCGGUAUGGGAUGAGCUCGCGGCCUAUCAGCUUGUUGGUGGGGUAAUGGCCUACCAAGGCGUCGACGGGUAGCCGGCCUGAGAGGGUGUACGGCCACAUUGGGACUGAGAUACGGCCCAGACUCCUACGGGAGGCAGCGGUGGGGAAUAUUGCACAAUGGGCGCAAGCCUGAUGCAGCGACGCCGCGUGGGGGAUGACGGCCUUCGGGUUGUAAACUCCUUUCGCAAUCGACGAAGCCUUUUGGUGACGGUAGGUUGAGAAGAAGCACCGGCUAACUACGUG
Molecule: ribosomal RNA, 468 nt
Filed under: uncultured bacterium
Lineage: Bacteria
Description: partial 16S ribosomal RNA
Rfam family: Bacterial small subunit ribosomal RNA
Source: RNAcentral